GUGUCGUGAGAUGUACGGUUAAGUCCGCAAACGAGCGCAACCCUCAGGAGUAGUUACACGCUGUCUACUCCGACUGCCCUCGGCAAGGGGGAGGAAGGUGGGGAUGACGUCAAGUCAGCAUGGCCUUGAUAUCCAGGGCGACACACACGCUACAAUGGGCGGUACAAUGGGGAGCGAAGCGGCGACGCGGAGCCAAUCCCGAAAGCCGUUCGUAGUUCGGAUUGCAGGCUGCAACUCGCCUGCAUGAAGGUGGAGUUGCUAGUAACCGUGGGUCAGCAAACUACGGUGAAUACGUUCCCGGGCCU
This 305-nucleotide ribosomal RNA is filed under the name uncultured bacterium. RNAcentral describes it as "bacterial SSU rRNA". It matches the Rfam family "Bacterial small subunit ribosomal RNA", at positions 1062 to 1381 of the family's 1533-position model. The record is from RNAcentral.